GGCAGGUGUAUACUUACGUAACAGGAUGAAGGUCACCGUGCAGCUAUCACCAGUCUAUAAGUCAUUCUAUUUAGGCUGAGUCAGGUUCUCCCUGGGGCCAUCCAGGGCACUAAUAAUGGAGCCACUUGGCUCUUCAAUGGCGGUUCUCUGAUUUCCAGAAAAGAGACUUAGACGGGCUCAUUCUAGGUGAGGAUAGUGUGCAGGAUGGAACUGGACUUCCAGGAAUUCUUUACCAUUGGCUCACAGCAUCUCAUGGUCUUUUGUUAAGCUUUCUGGCCACAAGGAUGGAUCUGAAGUGGCUCCCAAUUUCUUUCCCUGCAUGGGCUUGACACCGGCAAGAACCCCUUGAAGUUCAGUCAUCUCCGGGCCAGGCUGAGAAAGAGUUGGGUGAGCCCUGUUGGAUGCAAGAUCCCUCACUUCCAGGUUGUAAUCUAGGAAACUUGAUUCUCCUUAAGGGAGGGCUACCCAUCUGGCUGGGGCUGGACCUAACCGUGAGGAUGCUCGAGUUCCAGGCGGGGAUGCCCAUGCUGGGAAAGUUCGCACUGGGAAGGUUGCCCUGACUAGGUGAGUGAUACGGCUCACUCAUCUGCUAAGGGAGCAGCCUCUGGCCAACUGCCGUCAGGAACUCAAGCAGCUCACAGGUUUAGAAACCAUGGGAAAAACUUGUGGAUAUUGGAGACCUGGAAUAAAAUUAGCCUGGCAUUAAUUAAAGCUUUGUUGGCCACAAUGGGAAACUUCUGAUGUGCCUAAAUUAAUUUAUUUACACACACAGAACAGAGAAGAUA
Long non-coding RNA from Lemur catta (Ring-tailed lemur), 785 nucleotides. RefSeq lists it as uncharacterized. Lineage: Eukaryota; Metazoa; Chordata; Mammalia; Primates; Lemuridae. The record is from RefSeq and is a predicted model, not a curated record. The transcript is spliced from 3 exons.